UUGNANUGGGCGCAGCCUGAUCCAGCAAUGCCGCGUGAGUGAGGAAGGCCUUAGGGUUGUAAAGCUCUUUCACCCACGACGAUGAUGACGGUAGUGGGAGAAGAAGCCCCGGCUAACUUCGUGCCAGCAGCCGCGGUAAUACGAAGGGGGCGAGCGUUGUUCGGAUUUACUGGGCGUAAAGGGCGCGCAGGCGGCAGACCAAGUCAGGCGUGAAAGCCCCGGGCUCAACCUGGGAAUUGCGCUUGGGACUGGUUUGCUGGAGUUCGGGAGAGGAGCGUGGAAUUCCCAGUGUAGAGGUGAAAUUCGUAGAUAUUGGGAAGAACACCGGUGGCGAAGGCGGCGCUCUGGACCGAGACUGACGCUGAGGCGCGAAAGCGUGGGGAGCAAACAGGAUUAGAUACCCUGGUAGUCCACGCCGUAAACGAUGUGUGCUAGACGUUGGGGAGCCUAGCUCUUCGGUGUCGCAGCUAACGCUUUAAGCACACCGCCUGGGGAGUACGGCCGCAAGGUUAAAACUCAAAGAAAUUGACGGA
Molecule: ribosomal RNA, 533 nt
Filed under: uncultured bacterium
Lineage: Bacteria
Description: bacterial SSU rRNA
Rfam family: Bacterial small subunit ribosomal RNA
Source: RNAcentral